This 253-nucleotide ribosomal RNA is filed under the name uncultured bacterium. Its description in RNAcentral is "partial 16S ribosomal RNA". It matches the Rfam family "Bacterial small subunit ribosomal RNA", at positions 524 to 776 of the family's 1533-position model. The record is from RNAcentral.
UACAGAGGUCUCAAGCGUUGUUCGGAUUCAUUGGGCGUAAAGGGUGCGUAGGCGGCUGCUCAAGUCGAAUGUGAAAACUCGAGGCUCAACCUCGAGCCUGCAUUCGAUACUGGGCGGCUAGAGUCUGGUAGGGGGAUCUGGAAUUCCUGGUGUAGCGGUGGAAUGCGCAGAUAUCAGGAGGAACACCGGUGGCGAAGGCGGGAUCCUGGGCCAGUACUGACGCUGAGGAGCGAAAGCGUGGGGAGCGAACCGG